Suncus etruscus (white-toothed pygmy shrew) is the source of this 105-nucleotide small nuclear RNA. The record is from RefSeq and is a predicted model, not a curated record. Lineage: Eukaryota; Metazoa; Chordata; Mammalia; Eulipotyphla; Soricidae.
GUGCUCACUUUGGCAGCAAAUAUACUAAAAUUGGAAUGAUACAGAGACGAUUAGCAUGGUCCCUGUGCAAGAAAACAUUACUUUCAGGUUAUAUAAUGAAUUUUU